RNAcentral lists this ribosomal RNA (612 nucleotides) under Brevibacterium sp. N6. Its description in RNAcentral is "bacterial SSU rRNA". It matches the Rfam family "Bacterial small subunit ribosomal RNA", at positions 130 to 760 of the family's 1533-position model. Lineage: Bacteria; Bacillati; Actinomycetota; Actinomycetes; Micrococcales; Brevibacteriaceae. The record is from RNAcentral.
CCCUGAUUUCGGGAUAAGCCUGGGAAACCGGGUCUAAUACCGGAUACGACCAAUCCUCGCAUGAGGGUUGGUGGAAAGUUUUUCGAUCGGGGAUGGGCUCGCGGCCUAUCAGCUUGUUGGUGGGGUAAUGGCCUACCAAGGCGACGACGGGUAGCCGGCCUGAGAGGGCGACCGGCCACACUGGGACUGAGACACGGCCCAGACUCCUACGGGAGGCAGCAGUGGGGAAUAUUGCACAAUGGGGGAAACCCUGAUGCAGCGACGCAGCGUGCGGGAUGACGGCCUUCGGGUUGUAAACCGCUUUCAGCAGGGAAGAAGCGAAAGUGACGGUACCUGCAGAAGAAGUACCGGCUAACUACGUGCCAGCAGCCGCGGUAAUACGUAGGGUACGAGCGUUGUCCGGAAUUAUUGGGCGUAAAGAGCUCGUAGGUGGUUGGUCACGUCUGCUGUGGAAACGCAACGCUUAACGUUGCGCGUGCAGUGGGUACGGGCUGACUAGAGUGCAGUAGGGGAGUCUGGAAUUCCUGGUGUAGCGGUGAAAUGCGCAAUAUCGAGGAACACCGGUGGCGAAGGCGGGACUCUGGGCUGUAACUGACACUGAGGAGCGAAAGC